GGCCAUGGCUGAUUUACGGUAGGCGUAAGAAUGUGUACCACCGUGGUCCUCGUAAUUUGGCCGUUCCCUUCUGGAUUCGGCGGCGCAUGAGCCGGCGGAGACAAAUCGGAGAAGCAAUCGGCUGUAGUCUUUGCUUGGCCUGUCUAGGGACUUGACGCAGCGGAGCACAUAAGGCAAAUGGAGCAAGGCCAAGGUGGUUCUUCUUUCUUCAGAAGACUGUGCGUAGGUGGAGGCAGCAGGUGUGGAAUAAGCGGCAGGGAGCGAUUGCUUGUCUUUCCUGCCGUUAUUCGCCAAGGGAUGAAUGGCUCGUUGAGAAUAGCUGAAUGGAUGGGAUAAGUGUUCAUUUUGGCAUUGAUGGAGAAAUAAAUUUAAAAACAAAGAUGUCAAAGAGAGAUGCUGAAGAAAACAGAUGAAAUAAGAAAAGGAAACAGAAAGAAGAUAGAUAACAAAUGUUGGUGUGGAAGAUGUACCAAAUGAUCAACAAACAUGAAACCAAUCUCAUAGAGGUGGUUGUCUCUAUUCCGGUUCUCCCCUGACCGGGCAAUGCGUACAACAGCACGCCUCGGAGAUCCUCGAGAGGUAGGGCAAACUGAAGGGAAGAUAAAAGAGGAAGAGGAAAUUACCAGCAACAGUGACGUCUGGAACCUCAACAGGACGCUUGCCUAAACUUAUCUCCCGCCUCCAAGAUUGUAUGUCAUCUAACAUUGAAGGAGAGGCAAGAGAUCGGCGGAAAGAAAUACCCGUAGAAGACCCAGUAUGGUGUGGAUCCAUAGGACAACCAAAAGGUGGACAGCAGGUAUAUCAGGCCCGGGAAGACGGACAGCAGAACCGGUAAGAGUAACAGCAACAUCGGAAGGAGUAUCCUCGG
Long non-coding RNA from Lolium rigidum, 868 nucleotides. RefSeq lists it as uncharacterized. NCBI's taxonomy places the organism in Eukaryota, Viridiplantae, Streptophyta, Magnoliopsida, Poales, Poaceae. The record is from RefSeq and is a predicted model, not a curated record. The transcript has 4 exons.